Condylura cristata (star-nosed mole) is the source of this 372-nucleotide non-coding RNA. Lineage: Eukaryota; Metazoa; Chordata; Mammalia; Eulipotyphla; Talpidae. The record is from the annotation of a RefSeq genome assembly.
AUGAGGGCCCCCGCUCAGCUCCUCAGCCUCCUGCUGCUCUGGCUCCCAGGAGCCAGGGGUGAUAUCCAGAUGACCCAGUCUCCAUCCUCCGUGUCUGCAUCUCAGGGAGACAGAGUCAUCAUGACCUGCCGGGCCAGUCAGGAUGUUAGCAAUUUAUUAUCCUGGUAUCAGCAGAAACCAGGGAAAACUCCUAUGCUCCUCAUCUAUUCUGCUUCCACAUUGCAACCUGGGGUCCCCUCCCGCUUCAGUGGCAGUAAGUCUGGGAGGGAUUUCACUCUUACCAUCAGCAGCCUGGAGGCAGAAGAUUUUGCAACUUAUUACUGUAUGCAGGAUCACAACUGGAUUCCCACAGUGAUACAGGCCUUAACAUAA